UCCCUGGUGGUCGAGUGUUCAGGAUUCAGCGCUUUCACCGUUGAGGCCCGGGUUUGAUUCCCGGUCAGGGAA
Tetraodon nigroviridis (spotted green pufferfish) is the source of this 72-nucleotide non-coding RNA. Lineage: Eukaryota; Metazoa; Chordata; Actinopteri; Tetraodontiformes; Tetraodontidae. The record is from Rfam.